Long non-coding RNA from Musa acuminata AAA Group (dessert banana), 2416 nucleotides. RefSeq lists it as uncharacterized. The record is from RefSeq and is a predicted model, not a curated record. NCBI's taxonomy places the organism in Eukaryota, Viridiplantae, Streptophyta, Magnoliopsida, Zingiberales, Musaceae. The transcript is spliced from 3 exons.
CUGGUGGGUGGGGAAAUUAUGUCGAAUUAUUUCUCUCUCGAGAGGGACAACCACCGUCGCUCCCAAACGCACGUCGACGGAUGGAGCGCGCCAUUUCCCGGUCCUCGCCGCUCGCGAGCAGCCGACCACCAUCCCUCGGCGUCGGCGGAGAGCAGCCGCCUGGAGGAGCUGACGGCGCGGCCGGGCGUGGGCGCUGCCGCGGGGCGCGAGGGGAGGCCCUGCUCAAGGCCCUCCGCCAGGUCAAGAACGAGUUCAUCGGUAACAAGACCAAGAAGCCCGCCCUCCUCCGCAGCGAACGGCCGCCUGCAUCCUUUUCCAUUCCGAUGAUAAGAACCUAAGUGAAGGCUAUUUUUACAGUGAGGCAGUUAUUGGUAACGUGGUCCGACUUUUAUGAGACUCAUCUACAUUGGUUCAGGUAAGUUUGUCUACAUGGACAAUAAAUUUCACUUGUAUUAGAAGUUAGUCUGGCCUCCCUUAUCUUGCCCCGAUGUUGUCACAAAGAACUUGCAAAUUUUUUGGGCAAUUUUUUAUCUUGAGGAAGAAUGGGAUCGUGUAGGAAUAUAUCUGGAUCUUCAGAUAAGGUACACAGAUUAGGUUGCAAUAGAGCUUAAUAUAUCAUCAUUAAAUUAACAAGAAGCUGUAGGUCGAUAUUGGCAGCUUAAUAAGUUGAUGUUAUCAUCAUUAUAAAUGAUAACAGUUCUUAGUUUAACUAAAUUUUUAGCUACAUGUUUACUUGGUUCAAUAUCAAAGGAUGGUAUCUACAUGUUUAUUUGUUUUCCAUAUCGUGUCGCCAAUUCAUUAUUAUUAUUAUAUAAAAGGGAAGCAAGUGUCAUUUGAUUUUACGGAGGGAUAUAGUCCUACUGGUAUUGUGAUUUAUAAUACUAGUUUCUGCUGGUUUUUUGUUGUCAACAUCUCCAUAAUCUAUUUGUUGUACAUCUAAUAUAUUAUUGUGUACAAAAGUGGAUUAAAAAAGACCUGCAUUUCGUAACCUCUUGAUAAUUGUGAUGUGACUCUGUCAAUAAUGUAUUUCUAGAAGAUAAUGUUUUUUUAAAUGUUGUUGUGAGACAGUUGCAGAAUGCAUCAUCUGUAGGAGUAUAUACUCAGGUGUGUGUUCAAUUGUGCCAUCUUUGUCUACUUUUAUAUAACUUCUGCCAAAUUCUUGCUGUUCUCUACCAUCCUGUUUUUUUUUUCCUACUUUUGACGCGGACAUAUCUUCACGCAUGAUCAUUAGUCAUGCAUCAGUGCUAGUGAAAUAAGAAUAUACUAACUUAUAAGUUGUCUAUAUUACUCUGCCAGCUUGAAGCUAUUACUAGAAACCCGUGGCCAAGUUGCUGGAUAUUACUCCCACCAGCUUGAAGUUAUUACUAAAAACUCAUGGCCAUACCUCGCUGAUGGUUUUUUAGACUAAUGGUGCAUAUAAAUGCAAUAUUCCUGGUAUUAAAGUUAAUGAACUUCCUCAGUUUUUCAUGUCUGGCAUUCUAAAUAGGGUUUACAUCUCAGUAGAUUUGACAUCAGGUUUCAAAGAGUCGGAUUGUAAAAAAGCUUUGGAGAAAAAUAUGGACAAACAAUAAUAUAUAAUUAUGUAUUUAAAAUUUAUCUGAAUCUUUAGCCUGUUUUUGGUAAGUGAUGAUUCUGAUGUCCCAUCAAGAGAAAUUUCACCCAGAAGGUGACAUGCUUUGGCUUGUUCAGACAUGAUUCAAAUGUAGUUGUUUUCAAGCAGAACUAAUGAUUUAUGAUUUGCUUAAUAUAUAUGCUUUAUGAUAUAAAACUGUCUUUCAGGGAAUGAUUGUGCUCAAUAACAUUACGGCUGGAAGCGAGUCUGGGAAAGAGUGAUGAAUUAUCUUGUUCUGCCCCGAGAAGAUGGUAACAUUCCCUCACUUGCACCUAAGUUCUCGCAUAGUAAGGACGAUUGGCUUCUCUAUGAUGCUUAGUGAACCUAACAUUCCCAGCUAGUUCUGGUUUAUCCAGUAGGGUCGCAAGUUUCCAAGAAGCAGGGAUGAUUUUUCAGCUAAAAUUCAUGCUUAAUGAUCCCUACUCGGACUGCAAGCUUCAUGUGAGAGCCAUUAUCGAGCAGUGCAUCAGUAUGUUCUGCUUUUGGUGUUGUACACUUGCUUUUGAAUCCCCUCCAAUUGGAAUGCUGUUAUUUGCUUUGCAUUGACGGGUGAGUACACGUUAAAAUAUAUUCUUUCUAGGUUAUCCACUGCUUCGAGGAAUCGUUCGAUGCUCCUUGCGGAGAAAAAGCUGGUGGAUUUUCUUUUCUAUUUUUGUUGUUGUUGUUGUUGUUGUUGUUGUGAUACGCUGUGUAUCGUCACUUGAAAUGCAUUCAAUGAUCCGUUGUCUCUUUUUCUUUUUCAUGUACGAUAACACACUGUAAUGAAUGAAAUCGGAUGUUAAUUCGAAGCUUUGGCCGAACUUA